GGCUCUGUAGUGAAAUUCAUGUUGAGUUGCAAGCUCAUUGAUGUACGUUAAAGGCGUGCCAGGGUCU
Molecule: transfer RNA, 67 nt
Filed under: Pterocles gutturalis (yellow-throated sandgrouse)
Lineage: Eukaryota; Metazoa; Chordata; Aves; Pterocliformes; Pteroclidae
Description: tRNA-Cys
Source: RNAcentral